AGGGAGAUCAGUUGCACAGUGGCCUCCUAGAUUCACCAACAGCAUUUUACUGAGAAAAGCAGUGAUGUAAACAUGUGCGCAGAAUUCAGAAGAUUAUGUAUUUUGCACUUGGAGACUCACACCUACAUACAAAAUGUGGAGAUGCACACGGAGAGCGAGUAAACAUGGAAGAACUACAGAGAUCUCUCACCUUGAGGUUUCAAGUCUCUGUAAAAAGAAAAGCAAGAAGAGAAGGCAAGCAAGUGAGCGAGCUGUGUAUUAAUACAAGCUGUUGCAAAGAAUUCUCCUUUAGACCUGAGAUGAAAUAAAGUGAACCACAUAUAAAUGCAACUUGCAUAUCUGUCCAUUUCAGAAUUCUUCUCACCACAGUCUGGAAAAACACUAGUUUGAAAUUUGAUUGCCCACUAACACAGGAUUCAAUGAAAACCCUCAUCCAUUUUAUGUCCAAUACUAUGUUGUAUUAAGAAAAACAAAAGCAGACAUCUUUAAUCCAAAUUAUUCAUGGGGAAAAUGUGAGGUUUUUAAUUUUACUGGAAAACAUGAGGCAAUAAAAAGACAAAUUAUUCCCUAC
Molecule: long non-coding RNA, 571 nt
Organism: Hemicordylus capensis (graceful crag lizard)
Lineage: Eukaryota; Metazoa; Chordata; Lepidosauria; Squamata; Cordylidae
Exons: 2
Source: RefSeq, a predicted model, not a curated record